Non-coding RNA from Acanthosepion pharaonis, 112 nucleotides. Lineage: Eukaryota; Metazoa; Mollusca; Cephalopoda; Sepiida; Sepiidae. The record is from the annotation of a GenBank genome assembly.
UUACGAUCAUAUCACGUUGAAACAACUGUUCUCGUACGGUAACCGAUGUUAAGCAACGUCGUGCCUGAUCAGCACCUAGAUUGGCGACCGCUUGGGAAUAUCAGGUGUUAUA